CAGUCGAACGGAGCUGAGAGGAGCUUGCUUUUCUUAGCUUAGUGGCGAACGGGUGAGUAACGCGUGAGUAACCUGCCCUGGAGUGGGGGACAACAGUUGGAAACGACUGCUAAUACCGCAUAAGCCCACGAUCCGGCAUCGGAUUGAGGGAAAAGGAUUUAUUCGCUUCAGGAUGGACUCGCGUCCAAUUAGCUAGUUGGUGAGGUAACGGCCCACCAAGGCGACGAUUGGUAGCCGGACUGAGAGGUUGAACGGCCACAUUGGGACUGAGACACGGCCCAGACUCCUACGGGAGGCAGCAGUGGGGGAUAUUGCACAAUGGGGGAAACCCUGAUGCAGCGACGCCGCGUGGAGGAAGAAGGUUUUCGGAUUGUAAACUCCUGUCGUUAGGGACGAUAAUGACGGUACCUAACAAGAAAGCACCGGCUAACUACGUGCCAGCAGCCGCGGUAAAACGUAGGGUGCAAGCGUUGUCCGGAAUUACUGGGUGUAAAGGGAGCGUAGACGGAUGGACAAGUCUGAUGUGAAAGGCUGGGGCUCAACCCCGGGACUGCAUUGGAAACUGCCCGUCUUGAGUGCCGGAGAGGUAAGCGGAAUUCCUAGUGUAGCGGUGAAAUGCGUAGAUAUUAGGAGGAACACCAGUGGCGAAGGCGGCUUACUGGACGGUAACUGACGUUGAGGCU
This 683-nucleotide ribosomal RNA is filed under the name uncultured bacterium. RNAcentral's name for it is "bacterial SSU rRNA". It matches the Rfam family "Bacterial small subunit ribosomal RNA", at positions 59 to 753 of the family's 1533-position model. The record is from RNAcentral.